UAUAAUUUAUUUUCUUCCUCUAGGCAGCACUCAGAAGUAUGUUCUCAGAAUAAUUCCUGAUCCUCUGUGAGUUCCUGGUGCAGCUCCUGGAGGAAAAGCCUGCAUGGGGGAGGGAGCCCUCCUCACAUGCAGCCCUGAGGCUGUCACGUCACUUCACCCACCGUUGCCCUUCAGUCACUUCCUGAACGCUUAUGAGUUAAUCUUCCUGAAACAUGUGGUAUAUGGCAGUGUCUUUCCCAGGACAUUGAUUAUGGGAUUCACCAGAAGCUGCUGGCCUUUCACAGGCACAGACCUUCCUCUACACCAGUGGUCCCCAACAUUUUUGGCACCAGGGAACGGUUUCGUGGCAGACAAUUUUUCCAUGGAUGAUGGCGGUGAGUGAUUAUGGGAUGAACUUACUCCACCUGCAUUCAUCAGGCAUUAGAUUCUCAUAGGGAGCACUCAAAC
Molecule: long non-coding RNA, 447 nt
Filed under: Gorilla gorilla gorilla (western lowland gorilla)
Lineage: Eukaryota; Metazoa; Chordata; Mammalia; Primates; Hominidae
Description: lncRNA (ENSGGOG00000044688.1)
Source: RNAcentral